Molecule: ribosomal RNA, 207 nt
Filed under: uncultured bacterium
Lineage: Bacteria
Description: partial 16S ribosomal RNA
Rfam family: Bacterial small subunit ribosomal RNA
Source: RNAcentral
CACGCAGGCGGCCAACCAAGUCUGACGUGAAAGCUCCUGGCUUAACUGGGAGAGGUCGUUGGAAACUGAUUGGCUUGAGGCAAUGAGAGGGGUACGGAAUUCCAGGUGUAGUGGUGGAAUGCGUAGAUAUCUGGAGGAACAUCAGUGGCGAAAGCGGUACCCUGGCAUUGGCCUGACGCUCAUGUGCGAAAGCGUGGGGAGCGAACG